AGAUUGAACGCUGGCGGCAUGCCUUACACAUGCAAGUCGAACGGUAACAGGUCUUCGGAUGCUGACGAGUGGCGAACGGGUGAGUAAUACAUCGGAACGUGCCCGAUCGUGGGGGAUAACGGAGCGAAAGCUUUGCUAAUACCGCAUACGAACUCUGGUUGAAAGCGGGGGAUCGCAAGACCUCGCGCGAUUGGAGCGGCCGAUGGCAGAUUAGGUAGUUGGUGGGGUAAAGGCUCACCGAAGCCGACGAUCGUGUAG
This 258-nucleotide ribosomal RNA is filed under the name uncultured soil bacterium. RNAcentral describes it as "partial 16S ribosomal RNA". It matches the Rfam family "Bacterial small subunit ribosomal RNA", at positions 26 to 286 of the family's 1533-position model. The record is from RNAcentral.